This 2997-nucleotide long non-coding RNA is filed under the name Oryza brachyantha (malo sina). RNAcentral describes it as "long non-coding RNA (OBRA_LNC001029)". The record is from RNAcentral. Lineage: Eukaryota; Viridiplantae; Streptophyta; Magnoliopsida; Poales; Poaceae.
UUUCAAAAACCUUUAGUUGCUUCCAAGAUCUUUAUUUGAUUUCAACCCUUUUUAUUUAUUAUUUGUUUCUAAAAUAAAAGUGUGUUUCUAAAAUAUUUAUAAAAGCCCUCGCUUUUUCGUCAGCAACCUCACGUUUGCGCCGAUUGUUCGCUUUAUUAGUUUGGGAGUAGCAACGAGUCGUGCGAGGACCUAGGUAUAGCAAGCUAGUCAUGCGAGGAACAAGCUCCACGAGACUUCGAACCAGGCAAGUCACUACACCUUUUGACCACGUUGAACCUAUGAUUCGAAAAUGCAUUCUUUUACUUUAAAUUACAUGCAGAACAUUUAGAGGCCCAUUGUAAGUAGUUUUACUCGUCAUAUGCUUGAUUACCCUGAAACCUUUGUAGCCUCAUUACUCAACUAUAAACUAGUCAACAUAUGAUAUUGCUUAGCCCUGCUAUUAGCUACAUUUUAUUCAAUAUUAUACUUUGAAAUGAUUAGGAUGAUGGCGAGCCAUUACUCAGUGGGAGUAAAUGCAUGACGACGGGUAGAGACAUGAGCGCCACCCGGCCAUGUUGAGAAUAAGUUGUUAAGAUAAAAACUAUUUUCGAUUGGGGCGGAGCGGUGAGAAUAUGGGUGGUUCCAGGAAAAGGUUAGCCGCCUCUGAUCAGUUAAGGACCGAGCCAUGCAGCUAUACAUGAAACGAACACCAUACAACCGUGUUUCUCGAAUGGGUAUAUACCUAGCUUAUUAAAUAGUCGAGCGGAGUUGGUGUCCAAGUCGCGGUGGUUCUUAUGAGUGUGCAAGAGGGCAGAAAGCCUAUUGCACAAGGGAUGACCAGGAGGGUCACUCCCUAUGAACUGUGGUGUGUUGGGUAUAUGGUUGUUGGUUUACUCCUCCCUCGGGAACAUCAGAACUCCCCUCACUGCUAGUAACGGUACGUCUAGAGUGCAACAGGGACUAAAGUUCAUGGAGCAGCCACUACCAAAGUAAGGUUAUCGAAAAGCGUUGCAACGACCGUCUCAUGUGUUGGGACGAGGCUCAUGUGUUGGGCAGUCGUGGAGCAUGGGAAAGUAUACAACCACUGCAGUGUGUUUAAAUCUAUUCGAAUAGCAGCGCUCUCGGAUAUAAGCACCGAGACAUGGUAUACACUUGGCUAGACUUAUAAAAACCCAACAGAUGAGUAUGGGAUGAGAAUGAAAGUGUUGUAUGUGUGUCUAGGUGAUUUACUCCUUGAGAUGCAAGGGGGUGAAUUAUCUAGAAGAUGACAUGGAUGCCAUGAAGGAAAACCAUUAGUGGACGGCUGACAGAACCUUCAUGGCUAUUUAAUUACACUCAUGGAAUAGAAAUUGCUGCUAGAAAAUAGGUUUUGUGAAAACUAUUUGAAAAGCCACUUUUAUGCAAAAGAACCCUAUAGCCUUCCUUAAUACAACCUUGCAUAUGCAUAUUUUCAUGUUGAUUUGCUGAGUACCCCGUACUCACCCUUGCUAAAUGCAAACCUUCAGUGCUCAAGAGGAUAUGGCUCUAAAUCCAGUGUAGAGCUACGGAGUUAUCACAGUUGAAGCGGUCGUCUAGCGGUCUCUGUCUCCCAGUCGCCGCCUGUGUCGUGUCAGAUGUGCCCUCCUAUUCCCUUUCGCUUCCACUGUUAUUGUUAUAAAGUUUUGAUUUAACCAAAGGUUCAUAAUUAAACCCUUUCAACCUUAUCUUUUUGUUGUGAUAUGUGACGAUCCAAAUAUAUAUAUGUACCAACUAUUGAUCUAAGAAUUGGUACUGAUAAACACAACACAGAAGGUUACCGAUUAGCGCAAUCGGGGGCCGACAAUAUGUUAGCGAGUAAUUCCAAUUAUAUGUGUCUUGACAUCACAAAUGAGUCCUUUUUGUGUAGACUGCAAGCUGAGAUAGACGAAGAUGGAUGCUUCCUGAUUUCGCAUUUCUGAUGGUGUUUUUGCUCAGUCAAAUCGAAUUGUUUUCUUAUGUCCAUCUCGCACACACGUUAUUUUGGGCAAGCAGACUGUGAGCGGAGAACACGGUUGACACGUGGAUGACUUCACCAAGUGACAGACAACAUAAACACCUUGAUUUUUUGAUUUUUUUAACUAGGUUAAGAUUUUGAUAAGUCAUAUGUUAGGAGUAAAGUGGUGUAAUAGUAAAUUUCUUAAUGCUAAGUGGACACGAAAAUAUACCGGAAGCACAUCGAUUUUGUCCUUUUUUAUCUAGCCAUAAAAGGUUUCUCCUCUAAUUCUUUCUUAUUGGUUAAUCAGAUUUUACUUAUGUAAUAAAUUUAAACUUCUAUUUUUCCUCUAGAGUCAAAAUCAAUCAUUUUAGACAUAGUUGUCAUGCUAAAAAAAGAAAAUUACAUUAUAAUAUGCACAAUAUAAAGUGUAAGAUAUAAAAGUGAUAAUAUAAGGUUUGACUAUUUUCUUAAAUAAUAAAGUCAAUUUUACAAAAGCACAUUAAUGACUUGUGUCACUCACGUGGCCUAGGCUUUGUGGUUCGGAGACUUCACAAGACUAUGUCCUUAUGAGGAGCACACAUUUACAUCAAGAACUUCAUCAUACACGGUAUCUAUAGAAUUUUUUUAUUUUUUUUCUUUUUAAUACAAGUUGCCAUCUUAAUUGUUUGGAUGCAUAAUACUAGUUUACAUUUUAAAUUUACUUGUUAUUUAUAUAAAGUGUGGUUAUGUGAAACCCAUAGACCAUAAAACCUGUCGUCACAUGCCAUAUACAUAGUACUUGUGGUUUUAUGCAACUUCGAUCAAAUUUACACUAAAUAGUAUGGCCUAAGUAUAGCUUCACCGAUAAAGUUUGGCAUGUAAGUGGACUAAUAUAAUUUAAUUGGUUUUUUAUUCAAUUCAAAACAAAAGGUUCCCCUGGCUCAACAUACUAAAGAAAAAAUAAAUAAAAGUUUACUCUCCAACCGCACACAUGAGAUAAAUUGCUCGCAACUAUUAUACGUUAUACUCUCAUUUAUCAAUAAUUACUACUAUUAAUUCAAAUCUUCAUAAUUUUAAUACAAACC